Molecule: ribosomal RNA, 497 nt
Filed under: uncultured bacterium
Lineage: Bacteria
Description: partial 16S ribosomal RNA
Rfam family: Bacterial small subunit ribosomal RNA
Source: RNAcentral
GAUGAACGCUGGCGGCGUGCCUAAUACAUGCAAGUCGAGCGAACAGACGAGGAGCUUGCUCCUCUGACGUUAGCGGCGGACGGGUGAGUAACACGUGGAUAACCUACCUAUAAGACUGGGAUAACUUCGUGAAACCGGAGCUAAUACCGGAUAAUAUAUUGAACCGCAUGGUUCAAUAGUGAAAGACGGUUUUGCUGUCACUUAUAGAUGGAUCCGCGCCGCAUUAGCUAGUUGGUAAGGUAACGGCUUACCAAGGCAACGAUGCGUAGCCGACCUGAGAGGGUGAUCGGCCACACUGGAACUGAGACACGGUCCAGACUCCUACGGGAGGCAGCAGUAGGGAAUCUUCCGCAAUGGGCGAAAGCAUGACGGAGCAACGCCGCGCGAGUGAUGAAGGUCUUCGGAUCGUAAAACUCUGUUAUUGGGGAAAAACAAAUGUGUAAGUAAAUGUGCACGUCUUGACGGUACCUAAUCAAAAAGCCACGGCUAACUACGUG